AGAGUUUGAUCAUGGCUCAGAACGAACGCUGGCGGCGCGCUUAACACAUGCAAGUCGAACGAGAAAGUGUAGCAAUACAUUAGUACAGUGGCGUACGGGUGAGUAACACGUAGGUAAUCUACCCUUGAAGACUGGAAUAACUAACCGAAAGGUUGGCUAAUACCGGAUAGGUCAAGAGAUUCGUAGAGAAUUUUUUGGGAAAGUAGGACUCAAGCAAUUGAUCUUACACUUUAGGAAGAGCCUGCGUCUGAUUAGCUAGUUGGUAGGGUAAUGGCCUACCAAGGCUUUGAUCAGUAGCUGGUCUGAGAGGACGAUCAGCCACACUGGAACUGAAACACGGUCCAGACUCCUACGGGAGGCAGCAGUGGGGAAUCUUGCGCAAUGGAGGAAACUCUGACGCAGCGACGCCGCGUGGGUGAAGAAGGCCUUCGGGUUGUAAAGCCCUGUCGAACGGGAAAAAUGGCAUUUGUGCUAAUACCACAGAUGCGUGAUGGUACCGUUAAAGGAAGCACCGGCUAACUCUGUGCCAGCAGCCGCGGUAAUACAGAGGGUGCAAGCGUUGUUCGGAAUCAUUGGGCGUAAAGGGCAAGUA
This 592-nucleotide ribosomal RNA is filed under the name uncultured bacterium. RNAcentral describes it as "bacterial SSU rRNA". It matches the Rfam family "Bacterial small subunit ribosomal RNA", at positions 8 to 573 of the family's 1533-position model. The record is from RNAcentral.